GACAGAGGUGCCGAGCGUUAGGCGGAAUCACUGGGCUUAAAGCGUGUGUAGGCGGAUCUGUAAGUACCUUGUGAAAUCCCACGGCUCAACCGUGGAACUGCUUGGUAUACUGCGGGUCUUGAGCCACCUAGGGGCAAGUGGAACAAACGGUGGAGCGGUGAAAUGCGUAGAUAUCGUUUGGAACGCCAAUGGUGAAAACAACUUGCUGGGGGUGUGCUGACGCUGAGACACGAAAGCCAGGGGGAGCAAACGGG
This 254-nucleotide ribosomal RNA is filed under the name uncultured bacterium. Its description in RNAcentral is "partial 16S ribosomal RNA". It matches the Rfam family "Bacterial small subunit ribosomal RNA", at positions 524 to 776 of the family's 1533-position model. The record is from RNAcentral.